Molecule: small nuclear RNA, 164 nt
Organism: Mastomys coucha (southern multimammate mouse)
Lineage: Eukaryota; Metazoa; Chordata; Mammalia; Rodentia; Muridae
Product: U1 spliceosomal RNA
Exons: 1
Source: RefSeq, a predicted model, not a curated record
AUACUUAGCUGGCAGGGGAGCUACCAUGAUCACGAAGGUGGUUUUCCCAGGGCGAGGCUUAUCCAUUGCACUCCGGAUGUGCUGACUCCUGUGAUUUCCCCAAAUGUGGGAAACUCGACGGCAUAAUUUGUGGUAGUGGGGGACUGCGUUCUCGCUCUCCCCUG